RNAcentral lists this long non-coding RNA (503 nucleotides) under Homo sapiens (human). Its description in RNAcentral is "HSALNT0211217". Lineage: Eukaryota; Metazoa; Chordata; Mammalia; Primates; Hominidae. The record is from RNAcentral.
ACAGAAGGACGAACCAGUGAGCUAAGCUGCGGGGCGCGGGCUCGGCCGGGGCACCGGUGAGUCGCCGGCGCUGCAGAGGGAGGCGGCACUGGUCUCGACGUGGGGCGGCCAGCGAUGAAGCCGGCUAUCUUUGUCACGAGUGAAUUGUUCUCAGUUUCUCGGUUUAUGUGCUCUUCCAGCUGCUUGUCUCCUACUAUACCUGUCUGACACAAUAUCACCAGAGCAAGCCAUAGACAGCCUGCGAGACCUAAGAGGAUCCGGGGCAAUACAGACCAUCAAGCAAUACAAUUAUCUUCAUGAGUUUCGGGACAAAUUAGCUGCACAUCUAUCAUCAAGAGAUUCACAAUCAAGAUCUGUAUCAAGAUAAAGGAAUUCAAAUAGCAUAUAUAUGACCAUGUCUGAAAUGUCAGUUCUCUAGCAUAAUUUGUAUUGAAAUGAAACCACCAGUGUUAUCAACUUGAAUGUAAAUGUACAUGUGCAGAUAUUCCUAAAGUUUUAUUGAC